Molecule: ribosomal RNA, 497 nt
Filed under: uncultured bacterium
Lineage: Bacteria
Description: partial 16S ribosomal RNA
Rfam family: Bacterial small subunit ribosomal RNA
Source: RNAcentral
GAUGAACGCUGGCGGCGUGCCUAAUACAUGCAAGUCGAGCGAACGGACGAUAAGCUUGCUUCUCUGAUGUUAGCGGCGGACGGGUGAGUAACACGUGGAUAACCUACCUAUAAGACUGGGAUAACUUCGGGAAACCGGAGCUAAUACCGGAUGAUAUUUUGAACCGCAUGGUUCAAAAGUGAAAGACGGUCUUGCUGUCUCUUAUAGAUGGAUCCGCGCUGCAUUAGCUAGUUGGUAAGGUAACGGCUUACCAAGGCAACGAUGCAUAGCCGACCUUAGAGGGUGAUCGGCCACACUGGAACUGAGACACGGUCCAGACUCCUACGGGAGGCAGCAGUAGGGAAUCUUCCGCAAUGGGCGAAAGCCUGACGGAGCAACGCCGCGUGAGUGAUGAAGGUCUUCGGAUCGUAAAACUCUGUUAUUAGGGAAGAACAUAUGUGUAAGUAACUGUGCACAUCUUGACGGUACCUAAUCAGAAAGCCACGGCUAACUACGUG